Molecule: ribosomal RNA, 447 nt
Filed under: Abyssoanthus sp. Mediterranean
Lineage: Eukaryota; Metazoa; Cnidaria; Anthozoa; Zoantharia; Abyssoanthidae
Description: partial 16S ribosomal RNA
Rfam family: Bacterial large subunit ribosomal RNA
Source: RNAcentral
UUUACUGGCGGCUUGCAUUGCCCGGCCCCCCCCCCCCACCUGUGGCGGGGGGGGCGGGCCGUAAAACCAUGGGCGGCUCAGACCAUGUGGUGACAGAGCCCCCCCGUAUGGGGGCGAUGAGAACCCACUCCCCCAAUGUCGAAGGGGCUAACCCCCCCCUCCCCUGGGGGGGGGGGGACAGUGCAAGCAGGACAGUUUGGUUGGGGCGACCGCCUUUUAAAGGGUAACGAAGGCGCACUUAAGGUCUCGCGAGCAAUAGCGGUGGCCUGACUGCGAGGGGGGUGCGCCCCGAGCAGACACCCGGGGCCCCCCGGGGUUUUGGGGGGCCGACCGGGUGGGUUAUAGUGACCCGUUAAUUUUAUUGUGGGGAUAGUUAACGAUCAACGGAUAAAAGUUACCGCGGGGAUAACAGCGUAAUAUCGUUAGAGAGUUCACAUCGACGACGAU